This 490-nucleotide ribosomal RNA is filed under the name uncultured bacterium. Its description in RNAcentral is "bacterial SSU rRNA". It matches the Rfam family "Bacterial small subunit ribosomal RNA", at positions 30 to 516 of the family's 1533-position model. The record is from RNAcentral.
AUUGAACGCUGGCGGAAUGCUUUACACAUGCAAGUCGAGCGGCAGCGCGGGGCAACCUGGCGGCGAGCGGCGAACGGGUGAGUAAUACAUCGGAACGUGCCCAGACGUGGGGGAUAACUACUCGAAAGAGUGGCUAAUACCGCAUACGAUCUACGGAUGAAAGCGGGGGAUCGCAAGACCUCGCGCGUCUGGAGCGGCUGAUGGCAGAUUAGGUAGUUGGUGGGAUAAAAGCCUACCAAGCCAACGAUCUGUAGCUGGUCUGAGAGGAUGAUCAGCCACACUGGGACUGAGACACGGCCCAGACUCCUACGGGAGGCAGCAGUGGGGAAUUUUGGACAAUGGGCGAAAGCCUGAUCCAGCCAUUCCGCGUGCAGGAUGAAGGCCCUCGGGUUGUAAACUGCUUUGUACAGAACGAAAAAGCUCUGGCUAAUACCUGGAGUCCAUGACGGUACUGUAAGAAUAAGCACCGGCUAACUACGUGCCAGCAGCC